AUUGUGUGUUUUUAUGUGUUAAACUGUUGCUAAAUUACAGUUCUGUUGGAACUUAUACAUUUACAGUAACAAAAAAAAAUCUAAAGAUGAAUUAGAGCUGAAUAUUUUAAAGCUGAAUAAUAAGGGAUCACAUUUCAACUCAUUGUUCUGUUUUAUAGGUAUAUAAUUCUUCCAUAAUAUAUGGUAUUGCAAUAUAUUAACAUAAUUCGUUUCGCUGAAUUUCUUCAGCAAGCACCUUUUUCCAUCAAACAAACGAGCUCGGUUUCUUUACAUGUCAAGGUUAGAAAUGUAAAAAACGAGUUUGCAGGCAGCCGUGGUUUUGCUGGUGCAUGUGGGUGUCGAUGUAGCUUUAAGUCAUUUUAUGUCAAUGUUCUGUUUUAUCCAAGUGUGGGUAUUGACAAAGCGCCAAAGAAUUCAUUUACCGCUCUUGAAAAUCUAUUAUGACUCAUGAGUCACCUUUGCUGCGAUUUUACUGAUCAUCCAAAAAGCUGUUGAGGGCUAAGCCUGGAUCAAAACAGGACAAGAGAGAGAGAGAGUGAGGCUGUGACAAGCAAUCCCUGGAGAGAUCCCACCGCUGGUGUCUGACAGAGUUGUUUGGUCUCCCCCCACUGCCCUUAUUCAUGAGGCCUCUUCAAAAACCAUAGAUCACACGUCCCUCAUGCACCUUGCACUUGAUGAUAGAAAAUUAUAUCUGAAUAAAAUAUGAAAACCGAGAGUGCCUGAAAGUUUUUUUGCGAGCUGUUACUGUAUUUCGUCGAUGUGUGCACAAGGUGUGACAAGAUGCCAAUUGUGCAUUUGAAAUCUAUGCGGGGGGAAGUUGUUGAUUUGAAAUCUAAUGCGUACUCAGAUAUUGAGGUAUAUGGCAAACUCACUCUUGAAGAUGUUUUAUAAUAUUUCGACUUAUCUGUCACACGCUUGCACACCGUGACUGUGUGUUGAUCUAGUGCACACUAAAAACAAGUCAUUUCUCAUUUCAUUUGUAUUGUAUAUUUGAAUUUCAUUUACAGAUUUUCCUGGCCGCACGUCUCCUUGUUUCAUUGGAAUGAAUAAAUCAAACAGUGAAGAAAACCCCAUCGAGAUUAAGAACCUCUUUUUCAAGGGAGUCCUGACCAAGGUAGGCAGCGGCAAACACCAAACACUCGACAGUUACACACUUACACAGUUAAAACACAAACAGAAAACAAAUAAAAGAAUCCUCAUUAAAUUUACAAGCACAUUAUGAAAAACAAGUGCAUUUUGUAGAGUCGGGCUCAAGAAACUCUCAGUUUGGAUUUGAAAGACUUCAAUGAAAUGAACUCAGUUAGUUAUUCCAUGCAAAAGGAGCAGAAUGGACAAAAGCCCUUUUCCCCAGUUCAGUAUGGGCAUACAGAACAGAAAGCAACAGUAGCAGUAUUUGAAACUGUGGCUGUGUUUUAUCAGUAGCAUCUUCUCUCAUCCUGGUAAGAAUCCAUUUACCAUAUUUAAUAUUUCACUGAUUAAAGUUUUUAAUUAUACUGUAUAUGUUUGACUUUUAUUGGUCCUUUUCUCAUCUUACUCAGACAAACACGCGACCAUCUUCACGCAGUGGGAGCCCAGUAUCAUCUGUGACAUCAUCUGUGACAUCGCGGAGCCCUUUCACAUCCAUGACAGUAACACCACAGAGACCUGUGACUUCUCUGAAGAGGUCAUGUGUCCCACCAGUGGCUGUUCACGAGGACAUGAUUGCACAUUUCCCAGUGAAGACAAAGAUAGGACGCUAUAGACACACGCUCUGCAGGACGUGCAGUGUACGUCUCUGCUUGUCUGGACUGUCUUCUCCCACUUAUCCGGCUUCCUUCAGCAUGUACUGGGUCUGCCCCGACGGUUUCAUUCAGUAUUUUAUUAGCCUAAUAAAUUCUGAUUCAUAAAAA
This is a long non-coding RNA of Solea senegalensis (Senegalese sole), 1889 nucleotides long. RefSeq lists it as uncharacterized. The record is from RefSeq and is a predicted model, not a curated record. The transcript is spliced from 2 exons. NCBI's taxonomy places the organism in Eukaryota, Metazoa, Chordata, Actinopteri, Pleuronectiformes, Soleidae.